RNAcentral lists this ribosomal RNA (452 nucleotides) under uncultured Rhodococcus sp. RNAcentral describes it as "bacterial SSU rRNA". It matches the Rfam family "Bacterial small subunit ribosomal RNA", at positions 925 to 1382 of the family's 1533-position model. The record is from RNAcentral. Lineage: Bacteria; Bacillati; Actinomycetota; Actinomycetes; Mycobacteriales; Nocardiaceae.
ACAAGCGGUGGAGCAUGUGGUUAAUUCGAUGCAACGCGAAGAACCUUACCUGGUUGACAUAUACCGGAAAGCUGCAGAGAUGUGGCCCCCCUUGUGGUCGGUAUACAGGUGGUGCAUGGCUGUCGUCAGCUCGUGUCGUGAGAUGUGGGUUAAGUCCCGCAACGAGCGCAACCCUAUCUUAUGUUGCCAGCACGUUAUGGUGGGGACUCGUAAGAGACUGCCGGGGUCAACUCGGAGGAAGGUGGGGACGACGUCAAGUCAUCAUGCCCCUUAUGUCCAGGGCUUCACACAUGCUACAAUGGCCAGUACAGAGGGCUGCGAGACCGUGAGGUGGAGCGAAUCCCUUAAAGCUGGUCUCAGUUCGGAUCGGGGUCUGCAACUCGACCCCGUGAAGUCGGAGUCGCUAGUAAUCGCAGAUCAGCAACGCUGCGGUGAAUACGUUCCCGGGCCUU